UGAUACUGAUCUGGAAAGUACCUGCUGAG
RNAcentral lists this non-coding RNA (29 nucleotides) under Rattus norvegicus (Norway rat). Lineage: Eukaryota; Metazoa; Chordata; Mammalia; Rodentia; Muridae. The record is from RNAcentral.